RNAcentral lists this small nucleolar RNA (132 nucleotides) under Pongo abelii (Sumatran orangutan). Lineage: Eukaryota; Metazoa; Chordata; Mammalia; Primates; Hominidae. The record is from RNAcentral.
UUUGAGGUCUAUCCCAAUAGGGCUUUUCCUGUAGCCUGCACGUUGUUGGAAAUGCCUCAUAGAGUAACUCUGUGGUUUUACUUUACUCACAGGACUAUUGCUACAUCUGUGGGAAGGAACUAUGGGACAGUU